GAUGAACGCUGGCGGCGUGCCUAAUACAUGCAAGUCGAGCGAACGGACGAGAAGCUUGCUUCUCUGAUGUUAGCGGCGGACGGGUGAGUAACACGUGGAUAACCUACCUAUAAGACUGGGAUAACUUCGGGAAACCGGAGCUAAUACCGGAUAAUACUUUCAACCGCAUGGUUCAAAAGUGAAAGACGGUCUUGCUGUCACUUAUAGAUGGAUCCGCGCUGCAUUAGCUAGUUGGUAAGGUAACGGCUUACCAAGGCAACGAUGCAUAGCCGCCCUGAGAGGGUGAUAGGCCACACUGGAACUGAGACACGGUCCAGACUCCUACGGGAGGCAGCAGUAGGGAAUCUUCCGCAAUGGGCGAAAGCCUGACGGAGCAACGCCGCGUGAGUGAUGAAGGUCUUCGGAUCGUAAAACUCUGUUAUUAGGGAAGAACAUAUGUGUAAGUAACUGUGCACAUCUUGACGGUACCUAAUCAGAAAGCCACGGCUAACUACGUG
This 497-nucleotide ribosomal RNA is filed under the name uncultured bacterium. RNAcentral's name for it is "partial 16S ribosomal RNA". It matches the Rfam family "Bacterial small subunit ribosomal RNA", at positions 28 to 507 of the family's 1533-position model. The record is from RNAcentral.